GGCUAGAGUUUGAUCAUGGCUCAGGACGAACGCUGGCGGCGCGCCUAACACAUGCAAGUCGAACGGGGUUGAGAGGAGCUUGCUUUUCUUGACUUAGUGGCGAACGGGUGAGUAACGCGUGAGGAACCUGCCUCAAAGAGGGGGACAACAGUUGGAAACGACUGCUAAUACCGCAUAAGCCCACGGUCCCGCAUGGGAGAGAGGGAAAAGGAGCAAUCCGCUUUGAGAUGGCCUCGCGUCCGAUUAGCUGGUUGGUGAGGUAACGGCCCACCAAGGCGACGAUCGGUAGCCGGACUGAGAGGUUGAACGGCCACAUUGGGACUGAGACGCGGCCCAGACUCCUACGGGAGGCAGCAGUGGGGAAUAUUGCACAAUGGGGGAAACCCUGAUGCAGCGACGCCGCGUGGAGGAAGAAGGUCUUCGGAUUGUAAACUCCUGUUGUUGGGGAAAAAGAGGAUGGUACCCAACAAGGAAGUGACGGCUAACUACGUGCCAGCAGCCGCGGUAAAACGUAGGUCACGAGCGUUGUCCGGAAUUACUGGGUGUAAAGGGAGCGCAGGCGGGUAUGCAAGUUGGGAGUGAAAUACAUGGGCUCAACCCAUGAACUGCUCUCAAAACUGUGUAUCUUGAGUAGUGCAGAGGUAGGCG
Molecule: ribosomal RNA, 648 nt
Filed under: uncultured organism
Description: bacterial SSU rRNA
Rfam family: Bacterial small subunit ribosomal RNA
Source: RNAcentral